GUUUGAUUGUUUUCUU
This 16-nucleotide small RNA is filed under the name Arabidopsis thaliana (thale cress). RNAcentral's name for it is "ATSL224640". The record is from RNAcentral. Lineage: Eukaryota; Viridiplantae; Streptophyta; Magnoliopsida; Brassicales; Brassicaceae.